AAGGCUUUAGCUUAAUUAAAGUAUCUGGGUUGCAUUCAGAUGAUGUUAGAUAGAGUCUUGCAGGUCUUA
RNAcentral lists this transfer RNA (69 nucleotides) under Electrophorus voltai. Its description in RNAcentral is "tRNA-Ala". It matches the Rfam family "tRNA". Rfam says of the family: Transfer RNA (tRNA) molecules are approximately 80 nucleotides in length. Their secondary structure includes four short double-helical elements and three loops (D, anti-codon, and T loops). The record is from RNAcentral. Lineage: Eukaryota; Metazoa; Chordata; Actinopteri; Gymnotiformes; Gymnotidae.